UACGUAGGGUGCGAGCGUUAAUCGGAAUUACUGGGCGUAAAGCGUGCGCAGGCGGUGAUGUAAGACCGAUGUGAAAUCCCCGGGCUUAACCUGGGAACUGCAUUGGUGACUGCAUUGCUGGAGUAUGGCAGAGGGGGGUGGAAUUCCACGUGUAGCAGUGAAAUGCGUAGAGAUGUGGAGGAACACCGAUGGCGAAGGCAGCCCCCCGGGCCAAUACUGACGCUCAUGCACGAAAGCGUGGGGAGCAAACAGG
Molecule: ribosomal RNA, 253 nt
Filed under: uncultured bacterium
Lineage: Bacteria
Description: partial 16S ribosomal RNA
Rfam family: Bacterial small subunit ribosomal RNA
Source: RNAcentral